This 772-nucleotide ribosomal RNA is filed under the name uncultured Xenococcus sp. Its description in RNAcentral is "partial 16S ribosomal RNA". It matches the Rfam family "Bacterial small subunit ribosomal RNA", at positions 1 to 811 of the family's 1533-position model. The record is from RNAcentral. Lineage: Bacteria; Bacillati; Cyanobacteriota; Cyanophyceae; Pleurocapsales; Xenococcaceae.
GAAUUCACUAGUGAUUAGAGUUUGAUCCUGGCUCAGGAUGAACGCUGGCGGCGUGCUUAACACAUGCAAGUCGAACGAGGUCUUCGGACCUAGUGGCGGACGGGUGAGUAACGCGUGAGAAUCUGCCCUUAGGAGGGGUACAACAGUUGGAAACGACUGCUAAUACCCCAUAUGCCGCGAGGUGAAACUAAUUGGCCUAAAGAUGAGCUCGCGUCUGAUUAGCUAGUUGGUGAGGUAAGAGCUUACCAAGGCAACGAUCAGUAGCUGGUCUGAGAGGAUGAGCAGCCACACUGGGACUGAGACACGGCCCAGACUCCUACGGGGGGCAGCAGUGGGGAAUUUUCCGCAAUGGGCGCAAGCCUGACGGAGCAAUACCGCGUGAGGGAGGAAGGCUUUUGGGUUGUAAACCUCUUUUCUCAAGGAAGAACAAUGACGGUACUUGAGGAAUAAGCAUCGGCUAACUCCGUGCCAGCAGCCGCGGUAAUACGGAGGAUGCAAGCGUUAUCCGGAAUUAUUGGGCGUAAAGCGUCCGUAGGUGGCCCAACAAGUCUGCUGUUAAAGACCAAAGCUUAACUUUGGCAAAGCAGUGGAAACUGUAGAGCUAGAGACCGGUAGGGGUAGAGGGAAUUUCCAGUGUAGCGGUGAAAUGCGUAGAGAUUGGAAAGAACACCAGUGGCGAAAGCGCUCUACUGGACCGGAACUGACACUGAGGGACGAAAGCUAGGGGAGCGAAAGGGAUUAGAUACCCCUGUAGUCCUAGCCGUAAACGAUG